Molecule: long non-coding RNA, 5917 nt
Filed under: Sus scrofa (pig)
Lineage: Eukaryota; Metazoa; Chordata; Mammalia; Artiodactyla; Suidae
Description: lncRNA (ENSSSCG00015019374.1)
Source: RNAcentral
GGAAAUAAGCAGCACCCAGCCCUGCUCUCCUGGGUGGCUCAUCCCUUUCCUGGUAUCUGGCCCACGUGCCGCCUCUUCUCGCCUCUUGCAGUCUGAUCUCCAUGCCGCUGCCUGACCAGUCAAUAUUUUAUUGCAAAUAUUAGGCCACAUCACCGCUUUGCUUAAAAUCCAUCCAUAGCUCUUCGUCGCACAGAGGGGAGGGAGCCCCGGCUUUCAGCAUGGCCCCAGGUCCUCCAUGAGCUGGCGGCUGCACUCGGGCUGAUUUCCCACGUGGCCACUGCGUUUGCGGCUCGGGGAUGCCUCUGAUUUCCUGAGCAGGCCGAGCGCUGGCUAGCCGCAGGAUCUCCAGCUCAGACUCUCCAGCUCACUGCUGCCGGAAUGCCGUCUCCCCUCUGCUUCACCUGGCAAGCUCGUCUUCUGCCUUCAGGAAGCUCACCCCCUCCAAGAAGCCCGCCCUGAUCACCUCAUGAGAAUUAAUUCCCACCCCACCCCACUAUCCACCCUUCUGUCACGGCCGUGUUCUCUCCCCUCUGCGCUUUCUCCCCUUCGGAAACUCUCUGGCCGUCGUUCAAGACGAUUCUCCACCAGCAUGUAAGCUCUGUGAGGACCAGGACGGGGUUUUAGUUACAACCGAAUUCCUGCAGCUCAGGACGAUGCCUCGCACCCAGUUGACAGUGUGCAGAGCACAUACUCGUGGAGCGGCUGCUGUGUUUGCACACCGCGUGUGACGUACAUUUACGGUUGAGUGUGGACAAGAGCAUGUGUGUGCCAGAGGGCUGCCAGCACACACAAACGCCGGCCGACCUGGUCGUUAGCCGGUUCAUCCCAAAAUUAGCCAGGAAGUUGUAUUAUUAAGAAUGUCAUCAUUUGUUCCCCCCAAAAACACUUAUUGAGCCUCUCCUGGAUGUCAGGCACUGUUCUAAGUAAUAGGACAUCGUUUUGAUGAGAGGCCCAUUUUCACCUUUAGAGAAGCUGUAUUUCGGCAUCAACGCGUGAUCAGCCACAUGCUGUAUUUAUACUGUAUUCUAAAAGGGUUGUUUCCAUACCUAAAGGUAGUAAUAACUACAGGUCUUCCGUGGGGCUAAUUCAGAAAUAAGUAGUAUUUUGGUAGUUUUCCAAGCGCUGACAAUUAACUCAGCCUCUCUCACGGGCGUGAGAUUGUUUCAUUUAGACAUUAGCAAGGGUUUUAGUCAACACACCCGGACGAGGGCUGUCUAUGCAAUUAUGUUCCGACGUGGUCCUCGAGGUUAGUUCUACCCAGGACCAACCGCAGCCAGGACCACACCACAGAGAGGGCAUUUCGGGUCUUUUAUGAGCGAGCUGGGAUCGUGCAGUAACUCCUGGCUGGGUCUUUGUAUUUGGGGAAAGACAGUUGCCCUCUCAGAGGUCAAUUUCCAAGGUCACGGGUGUUGCGUCUCGCAUGGCUCCCCCAGACCCGUGUGCAGAGUGCGCAGCCUCCCAAGAACAAGGGGGCGUCUGUGACGGUGCUGGUGUCCUUUCUGCGGCUCCCCAGUAAAUCUCUUAUGACCAGCAACUUAGUUCAGACCAGCGCCUGGGUGUGGACUUGAACCUGGGCCAGAACUCUGGCCUCACCUCGAAGAAGCCCUGCGACCUUGGAUAGGUCACCUCCCCGUUGCAGGUGACCUAAGGGCCAUCUGGUUGACCGCGCUGUGGGCGACUCCCACCAACCUCCUCUUCUCUAAUUCGAGAGGCCCGAUGCGUUUGCCAUCUGUGCUCAUUUAUUUUCCAGCGACGUCGCGGUUUUGACCUCUCAGACUCCCCUCUGUUCCGUUGGCCUUAAACGCCGUGUAAAGAGGGAUGUUUCUCUUUGAGUCCCCUCCACGUCGAGACCGUGGGGGGCAGGUGCCCAGAGCUUCGUGUGUUCGGGAGCGAGACCUGGGCUCUGGCGUGAGCGACGGGUCCCUGUAAUCGCCCUGCUGCCGAGAUGACGCUCAGAGGAGAGGGGGCCCCAUGAAAGGGGGGAGGGGUGCUGGCAGGACAACAGCCCAUCUCCCACGCAUUCGCUUAGCGAAGUCGGGGCUGGGCCUGCAGCCCGCAACCACCGAGGGAGGGGAGGGAGCCGGAGACACGAGGUCCGAGUCAGGGUCACCAUUUCUUUAACCUUUUUAAAGUACAUACUAGAUUUUCACGGUAGAAAAGGUGAGAAAAUGAAAGGAAAUCAUCCAUCAGCCCAGUAUCCAGGCGAAACUGCUCUUCUGUGGCUCCUUUUCUGCUUGGUCUUAGUGGACCGGCGGUGGACAGCCGUGUUCCCAUCGAGCGCCACGUGCUUGUCGCGUGCGUCCCUUCCCCGCGGCGGGCGCUGCCGGCUCUGCGGUCUGUACGCUACCCACCCUCGGGCGGUGGGGCGCUCGACUCCCUAGUAAACCGUGUCAUAAAUUCACAUCAUUGUUUUAAGUGGCUGGAUCCACUCUCAGGAGGAAACGGCGACAUGACCAGUCCCUCGUGACGGAUGUUCGUGUCCCGCUGAGGCUGCCGUGGAGACAGCCCGGCAUCUAGGACAUUCUUGGACCAAAGUUAGGCCUGACACGUGUGUGAGUUAAUCCAAUUGCAAGGCAAGCAUCUCAGGGAGCGCUUGUCCUGCGGGCCCUCCCGUGGGCGGCACUCCCCGUGGCCAGGCCCAAGGACACGGGUUUUUCGGCCCCACCCUGUGAAAGGGGCUUUGCCGCAUGAACAUACAAAUGCAAUUGCUAAUAAAACAAGGCCAACCCUUCCUCGUGCUCUGCAUUAAGAAGAAGGAAGCUUAGUUCCCCAAAUGGGCCGCUUCAGCAGAGUCUCAAAGGGUGACCAGGGCACACUUUUGUGAGUCGAUUUCUGAGUGAUUUAUAGGGUUCGGGGUUAUAAAGAUAAAUCCGCAAGGUGAUUCUCAAAGCAGCUUACAAACGCCUAUCUGAUGCUCUUAGUUUUAUGCCCUUUUCUCUCACUUAUCAAAACCCGUCCUUAAGCGCCCCUGAUGCAGCAGAUAAGUUGUUUUCUGGUUUUCCAGAUUAGGGAGACGUAGGGCGGAAGCGCCUGUGACGUGUUCAAGGUCGCAGUCAAGGGAAGAAGGACAGCGCUGCUGUGGAGAGAGCUUCAGGAGGGCCUGGGUCAACAGCUGGCCUUGGGGGUGCAUGGAGGGGCCGGGUGUGGCCGGAAGGCCGUUGAUCAGAGGGUCUCAAACUGAAGAGGUUUGCAGAAUGCGAAUCAACGCAGCGUCCCCCUUGUGAUGAAACGGGGCACGGCACGGGGAUUUGGCUCGACCCGAAACCAACUGCGUUCCGUCCACGCCGGAGGCGAGACUGCCUCAUCCUUUAACCCUCUCCUGAUGCGCCCACAUGCGGCGACCCCAGGGCACGUGGCUGUGGGAAGAUGCAUGGGCGUGAAUGAAACAGGGUCACCCCCACCACGAGUUUCUGAGUCAGCAGGUCUUUGUGGGACCAAAACUGUGCAUCUAACAAGUUCCCGGGGCUGGCGCUCGUGAGGUCGCUUUGAGAACCCCUUCCUCAGAAGCCGUCGGCCUGUUAGGUGCCGUGAAGAGUGAGUGAGACAGGGCUCGGGAGCUGCAAACUGUUAGAUCUAGAGUGGCUAAGCCAGGAGGUCCUACCGUGCAGCACAGGGAGCUCUAUGCAGUCUCCUCUGAGGAUAGAUCAGGAUGGAAGAUCACAUGAGAAAAGGCAUAUAUACGUGUACACACACACACACGUGCACACACACGUGCACACACACGUGUGCACACACACGUGCAUACACACAUGCGCACACGCACACGUGCACACAUGUGCGCGCGCGUACACACACACACACUAUACAUGUGACUGGGUCGCUUUGCUCUACAGCAGCAAUUGGCACAACAUUGUAAAUCAACUAUAAUUAAAAAAAAUUUUAAUGAUAAAACAAAGAAUUAGUGAAACAGUAUGUGCGGGAGCUCCGAGCACAGGGCCGAGCCGCAGCGGGAAGAUGGACUCUCAAAUCGUGUUGGACAAGAGCCUGGAGACCCCCGUCCUUAAAAACUGGCGAGAAGAGCACAGCCACCUCCCUGCCAAGGGGCGUGUCCCCUGCUCUCACGGGGCGGGGGGGGGGGGCCUGGCUUCCGAGGCCCCGGUCCUGGGGGCCCAAGUGGGGGGUCAGCUCUCCUGGUACACCCCCCGCCGGAACAGGACAGCUGCAGAGGGUGGGACUUGCCAAGCCCGCCGUGGGGGGACCUGUCGGGAGACUGGAAGUGGAGGAAGCGGGGGCCACGUGGGAUCUGGAGCCACGGGGGAGCCGAGGAGGAGAUCCUGACAGGCGCCCUCCCCAGGGCGGUGGUGCUGAGUCUCAGCCUCCGUCUCCAUGGAAACCGCGGGGUGACAUGUUCACAGGGUUGAAAGAAAAAUCCUGCCAUCCCAGAAUUCUGUAUCCAGCAAAAGUGUCCUUCAAAAGUUAAGGGAAAUAAAGACUUUCUCAGACAAUCCAAAACGGGGGCAUGUGUCACCAGUCAUCCUUCCUCGUCGGAAAUGCUCUAGGAAGCUCUUCCCUUCCGAGCAGAGGAGAAUGGAGGGUUACAGGCCAGCACGGAGACCAGGGAAGGAGCCGAGGGAGGGGCAGUGCCGUCUUUCGCCUCCUCAUCAUGACGUUUUGCUCCAGGAGGAAACUUUAUUCCAGGCAGUAAGAGCAACAAGUCAGUCCUGCUUCCCGGCAGGGUCUUUUUUCAACCCUGAUGGCUGCCAGCAUCUAAAGAUCAGGCUGCCUCGCCACCGGCCACAGCCGCCAGGAGGCCACUGAGGGCCUGGCUGGUCUCCCAGCAGCCCUCGCCCAGACGGCUGGGGCCUGCUUCCUUUCCUCCUCCAAACUGCCUCCGAGAACAGGUUCUAAACACCCGAAAGAAAAUUCCACAAGUUCUAAGGUCCUUUCAGCAGAGAGGUGCCAGAAAGCAGCCAUGGGGGGAGGGCCAGGUCCCCUGCUGACCUGAGCCGCUGGCCAUGGCCCCAGGAGAGCGAGAGGGAGCCAGGCUGCCCCACCCCGGCCUCGCCCGCAGGGGCCAGGGCAGCGUGAUGGGGCGGGAAAGCCCAGGUCCUCAGCCCUGGGUUUUGAUUCGGGUGUGGACACGAGCGCCCCGCCAGACUCACGGCCUGGAGGGAGGGACACGUGGCCACAUGACCUAAGUUCUGUAUCAGGACAAAACAGAGCCUUUUAUGGGGCUUCGGUCAGCCUGGCUCCUGCCCUGUUUCUCUGUCCCCUUCCUGAGAGUCAGGGUCGGGCCCGAAGGAAAUGCCGCUUUAGUGGCUGCAGAAGGACCAGCGGUCGUCGCCGCAUACAUUGAGGGGGUGAGGCGCUGUCCCCACGGCGGGUCCGUACGCGAGCCUUCUGCGCAUGCAGUUGUCACGGAGCUGUGCUGACACAAAACACACUCCUGCUUCGGGGCCGGACGGACCGCGUUUGAAGGUCAACCAACAGCUGGUGAAACCGGCCAGGCCUUUGACGGGGCACCGAGGGGUGGGUACGCCUUCUGUUCACUCCCACGAAAAGAUGCAAUUUGUGCUGCUGCGCCGCAGUUUACCUGGGACCAGCUCUUACCGGAAACCGGAGGACGUGGGGCCUCUCUCUGCUCUCUGUGCAACUUCCUGGGAAUCUCUAAUUAUCUCAGGGUUAAAACUAUUUUUAAAAGGAUCGACUAUUAGGAGUUCCCGUUGUGGCGCAGUGGUUGACGCAUCCGACUGGGAACGAUGAGGUUGCGGGUUCGAUCCCUGGCCUUGCUCAGUGGGUCAAGGAUCCGGCGUUGCCGUGAGCUGUGGCGUGGGUUGCAGACGCAGCUCGGAUCCCGCGUUGCUGUGGCUCCGGCAUAGGCUGGUAGCUGCAGCUCGGAUUAGACCCCUAGCCUGGGAACCGCCAUAUGCCGCGGGAGCGGCUCAAGAAAAGGCAAAAAGACAAAAAAAAUAAAAAA